This 1434-nucleotide long non-coding RNA is filed under the name Pelobates cultripes (western spadefoot toad). The record is from RNAcentral. Lineage: Eukaryota; Metazoa; Chordata; Amphibia; Anura; Pelobatidae.
UUUAGCUUUUUUUUUUUCUUUUUUAGUGACAAACUUCAGAAGCUUUCUAAGACCUUCAUGGACAAUCUCUUCAAUUCUUUUUAUAUACGGGAUGGCUAAACAAUGCAUUUCAAAAUAUUAAAUACUUUUUUACUGUAAAAGCUUGUAAAUGUGGUAUACAGGUUGAUUUAAUCAGCUGGAAAAAAACGAUAUGGAAGGUUUAUCAAAGUGUUCUGUUUCAAAAGUGGUGCAACAAUGUAAAAGGUAGAGGAAUCACCAAUGGAAUAUGCUAGAUCAACGUAACAUUUGCUUCAGCCAAAUUAGUUGUGGCGAAAAUACAAAUAAUUUCAGGAAUGACAAAUUUCAGUGCCUGCUGUUACAUUGGUUACCAUAGUGAUUGCCCCACUUUUAGUAUUUUUAAUCACUUUUUAGAACAGAACUCUUUGAUAAGUCUUCUCUAUACAUGUAUCAGGAAAAUGUUUGAUUUAUAGAUUCAUGAUUCAGAGACAAGAAAUUAUGUACUUUGAGUGAGCUCCAACAGUGCAAUACAAUAUAUGAAAGUUUAUUUGCAGGAUGUCUCAUCUCAGUCCAGGUAAAUUCCUUCUUUUUUUUAAAGAAGACCGACUUAUAUUUCUCUGAAGAAUUUUGAUUUCAAAUUAGAAAGACUAGUGCAUAUCAGGAAACACGAAAAUAGCAAUGUUUACAUUAGUUUAAAUAGGUUUAUAUAAGAACCUAUUUCAAGCUAACACGAAACAUAAAAAAUACCAAAAAUACACAGAUAGCAUAAGCGCUAGAGUGUCAACUGAGUAUAUGAUCAUCAUAUAUGAGAUAUGAUAGCAGGCAGCAAACACUAAUAGUAAGGGUUACCCUCAACUCCUUUCUGAAAGAUAUAGAAAAAACAAUAUACACAAAAUAUAGGUUGCAACAAUAUAAAGUCCUAUUAGUCCACAAUUGCUAGGGUCUGUUCUCUACUGGUAACCGUCCAGACUUCAAAUGGUGGGAGAAUAUGAACUAAAAGUAGAAAAUAACCAGUGAUGGUGCAGAGAGUAUGGAACUAGGUACAGGACUACAACAAUAAUUUAUAUGGUAUAUCACUCACAUUUAAGAGAGAUUUAAGACCAGCUCUGAGUUUAACAGAAUGCAGCGGUACAAUCCCCCCUGAUGACUAAGUAGAUCUGGAGGCUGGUGUCAGACAAUAGUCUUCACUGUAAUCAAUGUUAUAAUGGUUGUAAAAGUAAGACUAUUCUACUCACAUGUAGUAGAGCAGUAGAUCCUGCUCAGAUAAUAAUGCUUGGGUGGUAUAAUCCCCACCAGGGAUAUAAUGUUGGGUAGAUUCUUUAAGGAGUAGUAUUCCUUAUUAGUUAAGUUUUUUAGUGUCAGGAAUGGAAGUACAUUAAAAUAUAAUAAAGGCAACUAAAAGCAUAAAAAGUGUAAUAAAUGGACAAUGAAAACUAG